GCAUAUCAAUAAGCGGAGGAAAAGAAACCAACCGGGAUUACCUCAGUAACGGCGAGUGAAGCGGUAACAGCUCAAAUUUGAAAUCUGGCUCUUCCGGAGUCCGAGUUGUAAUUUGUAGAAGAUGCUUUGGGUUGUGGGUUCGGCCUAAGUUCCUUGGAACAGGACGUCAUAGAGGGUGAGAAUCCCGUAUGUGGCCGAGGCCCGCGCCUAUGUAAAGCUCUUUCAACGAGUCGAGUUGUUUGGGAAUGCAGCUCAAAAUGGGUGGUAAAUUUCAUCUAAAGCUAAAUAUGGGCCAGAGACCGAUAGCGCACAAGUAGAGUGAUCGAAAGAUGAAAAGCACUUUGGAAAGAGAGUUAAACAGUACGUGAAAUUGUUGAAAGGGAAGCGCUUGCAACCAGACUUGGGCGCUGCCGAUCACCUUGAGUUUUCUCGAGUGCACUCGACAGCGCACAGGCCAGCAUCGGUUCGGGUGGCUGGAUAAAGGCCGUAGGAAUGUGGCUCUCUUCGGGGAGUGUUAUAGCCUACGGUGCCAUGCAGCCCAGCCGGACCGAGGACCGCGCCUUCGGGCUAGGAUGCUGGCGUAAUGGUUGUAAGCGACCCGUCUUG
RNAcentral lists this ribosomal RNA (606 nucleotides) under Erysiphe quercicola. RNAcentral describes it as "eukaryotic LSU rRNA". It matches the Rfam family "Eukaryotic large subunit ribosomal RNA", at positions 38 to 656 of the family's 3401-position model. Lineage: Eukaryota; Fungi; Ascomycota; Leotiomycetes; Helotiales; Erysiphaceae. The record is from RNAcentral.